AGAGUUUGAUCAUGGCUCAGGAUGAACGCUAGCGGAGGCCUAACACAUGCAAGCCGAGCGGUAUAGAAUCUUCGGAUUUUAGAGAGCGGCGUACGGGUGCGGAACACGUGUGCAACCUACCUUUAUCUGGAGGAUAGCCUUUCGAAAGGAAGAUUAAUACUCCAUAAUAUAUUGAUUGGCAUCAAUUAAUAUUGAAAGCUCCGGCGGAUAGAGAUGGGCACGCGCAAGAUUAGUUAGUUGGUGAGGUAACGGCUCACCAAGACGAUGAUCUUUAGGGGGCCUGAGAGGGUGAUCCCCCACACUGGUACUGAGACACGGACCAGACUCCUACGGGAGGCAGCAGUGAGGAAUAUUGGACAAUGGGUGCAAGCCUGAUCCAGCCAUCCCGCGUGAAGGACGACUGCCCUAUGGGUUGUAAACUUCUUUUGUAUAGGGAUAAACCUCUCCUCGUGAGGAGAGCUGAAGGUACUAUACGAAUAAGCACCGGCUAACUCCGUG
This 498-nucleotide ribosomal RNA is filed under the name uncultured bacterium. RNAcentral describes it as "bacterial SSU rRNA". It matches the Rfam family "Bacterial small subunit ribosomal RNA", at positions 8 to 507 of the family's 1533-position model. The record is from RNAcentral.